RNAcentral lists this ribosomal RNA (465 nucleotides) under uncultured bacterium. RNAcentral describes it as "partial 16S ribosomal RNA". It matches the Rfam family "Bacterial small subunit ribosomal RNA", at positions 28 to 507 of the family's 1533-position model. The record is from RNAcentral.
GACGAACGCUGGCGGCGUGCUUAACACAUGCAAGUCGAACGGAAAGGCCCCUUUGGGGGUACUCGAGUGGUGAACGGGUGAGUAACACGUGAGUAACCUGCCCUUGACUUCGGGAUAACUUCAGGAAACUGGGGCUAAUACCGGAUAGGAAUCCUUGCUGCAUGGUGGGGGUUGGAAAGCUUCGGCGGUUUUGGAUGGACUCGCGGCUUAUCAGCUUGUUGGUGGGGUAGUGGCUUACCAAGGCUUUGACGGGUAGCCGGCCUGAGAGGGCGACCGGCCACAUUGGGACUGAGAUACGGCCCAGACUCCUACGGGAGGCAGCAGUGGGGAAUAUUGCACAAUGGGCGGAAGCCUGAUGCAGCAACGCCGCGUGCGGGAUGACGGCCUUCGGGUUGUAAACCGCUUUCAGCAGGGGCGAAGCUUGUGGUGACGGUACCUGCAGAAGAAGCACCGGCUAACUACGUG